ACACGGCCCAAACUCCUACGGGAGGCAGCAGUAGGGAAUCUUCCACAAUGGACGCAAGUCUGAUGGAGCAACGCCGCGUGAGUGACGAAGGUCUUCGGAUCGUAAAACUCUGUUGUUAGAGAAGAACACGAGUGAGAGUAACUGUUCAUUCGAGGACGGUAUCUAACCAGCAAGUCACGGCUAACUACGUGCCAGCAGCCGCGGUAAUACGUAGGUGGCAAGCGUUGUCCGGAUUUAUUGGGCGUAAAGGGAACGCAGGCGGUCUUUUAAGUCUGAUGUGAAAGCCUUCGGCUUAACCGGAGUAGUGCAUUGGAAACUGGAAGACUUGAGUGCAGAAGAGGAGAGUGGAACUCCAUGUGUAGCGGUGAAAUGCGUAGAGAUCAGGAAGAACAUCGGUGGCGAAGGCGCUCUGCUGGACCAUAACUGACACUCAGGGACGAAAGCUAGGGGAGCGGAAUGGGAUUAGAUACCCCAGUAGUCCUAGCCGUAAACGAUGGAUACGUAGGUGUUGUCUGUAUCGACCGGACAGUGUACCGG
This 537-nucleotide ribosomal RNA is filed under the name uncultured Lactococcus sp. RNAcentral describes it as "bacterial SSU rRNA". It matches the Rfam family "Bacterial small subunit ribosomal RNA", at positions 324 to 849 of the family's 1533-position model. Lineage: Bacteria; Bacillati; Bacillota; Bacilli; Lactobacillales; Streptococcaceae. The record is from RNAcentral.